UACGAAGGGGGCUAGCGUUGUUCGGAAUCAUUGGGCGUAAAGAGCGCGCAGGCGGCUUGGUAAGUCGGAUGUGAAAUCCCGAGGCUCAACCUCGGGUCUGCAUCCGAUACUGCCCGGCUAGAGGUAGGUAGGGGAGAUCGGAAUUCCUGGUGUAGCGGUGAAAUGCGCAGAUAUCAGGAGGAACACCGGUGGCGAAGGCGGAUCUCUGGGCCUUACCUGACGCUGAGGAGCGAAAGUGUGGGGAGCGAACAGG
This 253-nucleotide ribosomal RNA is filed under the name uncultured bacterium. RNAcentral describes it as "partial 16S ribosomal RNA". It matches the Rfam family "Bacterial small subunit ribosomal RNA", at positions 524 to 776 of the family's 1533-position model. The record is from RNAcentral.